Molecule: ribosomal RNA, 202 nt
Filed under: uncultured bacterium
Lineage: Bacteria
Description: partial 16S ribosomal RNA
Rfam family: Bacterial small subunit ribosomal RNA
Source: RNAcentral
UACGAAGGGGGGCUAGCGUUGCUCGGAAUUACUGGGCGUAAAGCGCACGUAGGCGGCUUUCUAAGUCGGGGGUGAAAUCCUGGAGCUCAACUCCAGAACUGCCUUCGAUACUGGAGAGCUCGAGUCCGGGGAGAGGUGAGUGGAACUGCGAGUGUAGAGGUGAAUUCGUAGAUAUUCGCAAAGAACACCAGUGGCGAAAGGC